Molecule: ribosomal RNA, 1411 nt
Filed under: Mammaliicoccus sciuri
Lineage: Bacteria; Bacillati; Bacillota; Bacilli; Caryophanales; Staphylococcaceae
Description: bacterial SSU rRNA
Rfam family: Bacterial small subunit ribosomal RNA
Source: RNAcentral
CAUGCAGUCGAGCGAACAGAUGAGAAGCUUGCUUCUCUGAUGUUAGCGGCGACGGUUGAGUAACACGUGGGUAACCUACCUAUAAGACUGGGAUAACUCCGGGAAACCGGGGCUAAUACCGGAUAAUAUUUUGAACCGCAUGGUUCAAUAGUGAAAGACGGUUUCGGCUGUCACUUAUAGAUGGACCCGCGCCGUAUUAGCUAGUUGGUAAGGUAACGGCUUACCAAGGCGACGAUACGUAGCCGACMUGAGAGGGUGAUCGGCCACACUGGAACUGAGACACGGUCCAGACUCCUACGGGAGGCAGCAGUAGGGAAUCUUCCGCAAUGGGCGAAAGCCUGACGGAGCAACGCCGCGUGAGUGAUGAAGGUCUUCGGAUCGUAAAACUCUGUUGUUAGGGAAGAACAAAUUUGUUAGUAACUGAACAAGUCUUGACGGUACCUAACCAGAAAGCCACGGCUAACUACGUGCCAGCAGCCGCGGUAAUACGUAGGUGGCAAGCGUUAUCCGGAAUUAUUGGGCGUAAAGCGCGCGUAGGCGGUUUCUUAAGUCUGAUGUGAAAGCCCACGGCUCAACCGUGGAGGGUCAUUGGAAACUGGGAAACUUGAGUGCAGAAGAGGAGAGUGGAAUUCCAUGUGUAGCGGUGAAAUGCGCAGAGAUAUGGAGGAACACCAGUGGCGAAGGCGGCUCUCUGGUCUGUAACUGACGCUGAUGUGCGAAAGCGUGGGGAUCAAACAGGAUUAGAUACCCUGGUAGUCCACGCCGUAAACGAUGAGUGCUAAGUGUUAGGGGGUUUCCGCCCCUUAGUGCUGCAGCUAACGCAUUAAGCACUCCGCCUGGGGAGUACGACCGCAAGGUUGAAACUCAAAGGAAUUGACGGGGACCCGCACAAGCGGUGGAGCAUGUGGUUUAAUUCGAAGCAACGCGAAGAACCUUACCAAAUCUUGACAUCCUUUGACCGCUCUAGAGAUAGAGUCUUCCCCUUCGGGGGACAAAGUGACAGGUGGUGCAUGGUUGUCGUCAGCUCGUGUCGUGAGAUGUUGGGUUAAGUCCCGCAACGAGCGCAACCCUUAAGCUUAGUUGCCAUCAUUAAGUUGGGCACUCUAGGUUGACUGCCGGUGACAAACCGGAGGAAGGUGGGGGAUGACGUCAAAUCAUCAUGCCCCUUAUGAUUUGGGCUACACACGUGCUACAAUGGAUAAUACAAAGGGCAGCGAAUCCGCGAGGCCAAGCAAAUCCCAUAAAAUUAUUCUCAGUUCGGAUUGUAGUCUGCAACUCGACUACAUGAAGCUGGAAUCGCUAGUAAUCGUAGAUCAGCAUGCUACGGUGAAUACGUUCCCGGGUCUUGUACACACCGCCCGUCACACCACGAGAGUUUGUAACACCCGAAGCCGGUGGAGUAACCUUUUAG